This is a non-coding RNA of Danio rerio (zebrafish), 73 nucleotides long. Lineage: Eukaryota; Metazoa; Chordata; Actinopteri; Cypriniformes; Danionidae. The record is from Rfam.
GCCCUGCUAGCUCAGUCGGUAGAGCAUGAGACUCUUAAUGUCAGGGUGGUGGGUUCGAGCCCCACGUUCGGCG